GAUGAACGCUGGCGGCGUGCCUAACACAUGCAAGUCGAACGGGAUGCGUAUUGGAAAGCUUCGGCCGGAAGAUACGUUAUCUAGUGGCGGACGGGUGAGUAACACGUGGGUAACCUGCCUUAUGGAGGGGGAUAACAGAGAGAAAUCACUGCUAAUACCGCAUAAGCACACAGUACCGCAUGGUACAGGGUGAAAAGAUUUAUCGCCAUAAGAUGGACCCGCGUCUGAUUAGCCAGUUGGCAGGGUAAAAGCCUACCAAAGCAACGAUCAGUAGCCGAUCUGAGAGGAUGACCGGCCACAUUGGGACUGAGACACGGCCCAAACUCCUACGGGAGGCAGCAGUGGGGAAUAUUGCACAAUGGGGGAAACCCUGAUGCAGCGACGCCGCGUGAGUGAAGAAGUAUUUCGGUAUGUAAAGCUCUAUCAGCAGGGAAGAUAAUGACAGUACCUGACUAAGAAGCCCCGGCUAACUACGUGCCAGCAGCCGCGGUAAUACGUAGGGGGCAAGCGUUAUCCGGAUUUACUGGGUGUAAAGGGAGCGUAGACGGAGUGGCAAGUCUGAAGUGAAAACCCUGGGCUUAACCUGGGGACUGCUUUGGAAACUGUUAAUCUAGAGUGUUGGAGAGGUAAGUGGAAUUCCUGGUGUAGCGGUGAAAUGCGUAGAUAUCAGGAAGAACACCGGAGGCGAAGGCGGCUUACUGGACAAUAACUGACGUUGAGGCUCGAAAGCGUGGGGAUCAAACAGG
Molecule: ribosomal RNA, 746 nt
Filed under: uncultured Oribacterium sp.
Lineage: Bacteria; Bacillati; Bacillota; Clostridia; Lachnospirales; Lachnospiraceae
Description: bacterial SSU rRNA
Rfam family: Bacterial small subunit ribosomal RNA
Source: RNAcentral